GAUGACUACAGUCAAGGAAAUGAGCCUGUCACCUUCCCUGGUUACCGUUUCUUUGCAAGCAAUCCUUUCCUAGAAAGCCCUGCUGUCAGAUGACAUUUCCAACAGGAGACUUCUCUUCUGAUACACCACAGUGGCCUUUUCUUGUCAGGCCUUCCCUGGUGUCCUGUGUCCAAAUUUUGCACCUUUGCGCCACAUCCCGGACGGUAGUUUACUUCUUAAGACUGAGCUCUGUCCUCGGGUUGGGGCGGCACUGGAUUCUUCGCCGAAGGGACUGCCGAAUAGAGGGGGCCCUCGGCAAAUGCUUGGAGGAACGCACCCCGGCCAGUCAGGCUCUUUUGCUUUGCAGGUGAGAGGCGCAGCAGUCGCUCUGGCCUACAUCAGCAGAGUCGACGAUGUGAACCCAGGGACCAGUGACUUUGGAACAUUGAAAAGAGCAUCGCAUGUCACUGGCUUAUUUGUCAAAAUAAACACAGAGCACUCAUCACCCGG
Molecule: long non-coding RNA, 489 nt
Organism: Carlito syrichta (Philippine tarsier)
Lineage: Eukaryota; Metazoa; Chordata; Mammalia; Primates; Tarsiidae
Exons: 4
Source: RefSeq, a predicted model, not a curated record